Molecule: long non-coding RNA, 172 nt
Organism: Sapajus apella (tufted capuchin)
Lineage: Eukaryota; Metazoa; Chordata; Mammalia; Primates; Cebidae
Exons: 3
Source: RefSeq, a predicted model, not a curated record
AAUGUAAUUCAAUGGAUGAGACUAGUAAUUCUAAAGCAAGAGAUAUGAAACGUGUACAGUGAGCCACCAUUUCUAAUAUGAAUGUGUCAAAUAUAUGAAAAAAAUCCCUGAUGAAAGGAAGUUAGAGAACCACUAUAUCCAACUUAAAUAGGCUAGAUAAACUCUUUCCAAU